This 497-nucleotide ribosomal RNA is filed under the name uncultured bacterium. RNAcentral's name for it is "partial 16S ribosomal RNA". It matches the Rfam family "Bacterial small subunit ribosomal RNA", at positions 28 to 507 of the family's 1533-position model. The record is from RNAcentral.
GAUGAACGCUGGCGGCGUGCCUAAUACAUGCAAGUCGAGCGAACAGACGAGGAGCUUGCUCCUCUGACGUUAGCGGCGGACGGGUGAGUAACACGUGGAUAACCUACCUAUAAGACUGGGAUAACUUCGGGAAACCGGAGCUAAUACCGGAUAAUAUAUUGAACCGCAUGGUUCAAUAGUGAAAGACGGUUUUGCUGUCACUUAUAGAUGGAUCCGCGCCGCAUUAGCUAGUUGGUAAGUUAACGGCUUACCACGGCAACGAUGCGUAGCCGACCUGAGAGGGUGAUCGGCCACACUGGAACUGAGACACGGUCCAGACUCCUACGGGAGGCAGCAGUAGGGAAUCUUCCGCAAUGGGCGAAAGCUUGACGGAGCAACGCCACGUGAGUGAUGAAGGUCUUCGGAUCGUAAAACUCUGUUAUUAGGGAAGAACAAAUGUGUAAGUAACUAUGCACGUCUUGACGGUACCUAAUCAGAAAGCCACGGCUAACUACGUG